Non-coding RNA from Sphagnurus paluster, 81 nucleotides. The record is from the annotation of a GenBank genome assembly. NCBI's taxonomy places the organism in Eukaryota, Fungi, Basidiomycota, Agaricomycetes, Agaricales, Lyophyllaceae.
GCCGGCGUAGUACAAUGGUUAGUACGUUGCUUUCCUAGAUUCCGUAGGCAGAGGUUGUGGGUUCGAGUCCCAUCGUCGGUU